UUUCCCUGAGGAUAGUUGGCAUUCUGAGAAAUAAACAGCUUUAUCUGAUAAAGCGAAUGGUUAGAGGCAUCCUCAGCCUGUUGUUAUACUUUAAUUGGGUCAGAAGCUUACCUUACUUAAAUGGAGUUUUGCAUUGAACACGAGUGCCA
This 149-nucleotide non-coding RNA is filed under the name Trichobilharzia regenti. The record is from Rfam by way of RNAcentral. Lineage: Eukaryota; Metazoa; Platyhelminthes; Trematoda; Strigeidida; Schistosomatidae.